AGUUCUAUGAAGGGUGCAGAAGCAGAAGAUUGCCCUUUCAAGAACUUUUCGUGACCUUCUCCUAAGAAACUACCACCGGGCCCGGUAAAUGCGUCCGUCUAUCCCCUCAAAGGUUGGAAACCUUCAUUGCCAGCAACUGGAGGAUGCCGUCACGAGAAUACAACGAAGCAAACAGCCAGCCUACAAAGACACAGGUGAAGACAACGAAGAAUCUCAUUGUUCAUGUGGAGGGCCAAGAAAAGUUUUGUAAAGAGAGGCUGUGCUUCCUGAAGUGUCCACAGAUGGAUAUGGAAAAAGGAUGGGGAAUGCACUGGGCCAGUGAGCUUUCCAGGAGCCCUGAAAGGAGGUGGACCAUGGAGAAAGUCAGCCUGUGAUUGUCUCGUGUCCGUUGAAAAGUAAAGACCACAAGAUAAUGACGGAUUAUGGGUGAUCCUCUCCCAGGCUUGGAUGCUCAGUCAGGCUAUGGUGUUUGCCAGAAAUCAGUGAUAUUUCAGAACGUUGGAAGGUGACCCCAACCGGAACUCGUGUAUUUUUUGUCACUUCAAAGCACCUAUGGACAGUCCUUUGCUUUCCAUACAAGACUAAGCUUAGGAAUGUUUGGCUUUCAUUCGAGGUCAGGCUGCCUGCAGAUAUAGACCCUUUCCUCUGCUGCCUUAUUGCCAGGUACAUUAAAUACAGUAUAUGACAAGAGUUUAUUAAUACUGUACUGGGGUCAACAUCCGUACAAGUGCAUACAAUGGCCCCCAUACAGAAAAAGGUUGAAAAGAAAGGCAGUAAGAAAAAGGAUAUGAUUACGGUGGAGGUUAAAAAGGAUAUCAGCAAGAAGUAUGAAUGAGGUACGCAAGUGGCCGAAAUUGCAAGAUUUCAUAAGGAGUCUACGUCUGCAUCUCGUCUGCACAUGAGGAGGAGAAAAAGGCAGAAGACACCCUCACUUCAACUGACAUUAGGGAGAUGUGUCAAAUGUGGGAAACAGUGCAAAAUUUUGUAGAGAAGCACCGCCUGAAUAAAGAUGUAGCAGUGCAAGUGAUGAAUCGGUUUAACGACAAUGCAGCGUCACAGUGCCGCGAAAUCCUCAAAAGGAGGCAAAAGCAAGUGUCGUUGAAUAGGUUCUUGUUAAAGUUGCAUGACAAGAAGAAAAUUCCCUUGAGCCAAUAGAUAGCAGUGAUUCUACGAGUGAUAAUGAAAAUUGUCCCACACGACAACCCUCCUCCCUUGUCACGAAGGCUCACACCAGCCACGAAGGUUUUCAAAGGUAAGUGCAGUUAACUUGUUUAUUUUUCUUUAUAUUUUGUAUUUCCUCUAUUAUUUUGUAUUCUA
Molecule: long non-coding RNA, 1317 nt
Organism: Felis catus (domestic cat)
Lineage: Eukaryota; Metazoa; Chordata; Mammalia; Carnivora; Felidae
Exons: 3
Source: RefSeq, a predicted model, not a curated record